UACGUAGGGACCAAGCGUUGUUCGGAUUUACUGGGCGUAAAGGGCGCGUAGGUGGCGUCGCAAGUCAACGGUGAAAGCUCGACGCUCAACGUCGAGUCGGCCGUCGAGACUGCGAGGCUUGAGCACUGUAGAGGCAGGCGGAAUUCCGGGUGUAGCGGUGGAAUGCGUAGAGAUCCGGAAGAACACCGGUGGCGAAGGCGGCCUGCUGGGCAGUUGCUGACACUGAGGCGCGACAACGUGGGGAGCAAACAGG
RNAcentral lists this ribosomal RNA (253 nucleotides) under uncultured bacterium. RNAcentral describes it as "partial 16S ribosomal RNA". It matches the Rfam family "Bacterial small subunit ribosomal RNA", at positions 524 to 776 of the family's 1533-position model. The record is from RNAcentral.